ACCACUUUCUAUUUCUAAUUUUCUAUUCUCUCUCAUAGAUUGAUUGAAUUCUUUUGUUGAUCAAAGCUCUCUCUGAGUUUCUAUUUCUAUUCUCUCAAUAGAUUCAUUCAUUCAUUCAUUUCGCUCGCUAUUUUGAUAAUCAAAGCUGAUCUCACUUUAUCUUUCUAUUCUCUCAAUAGAUUGAUUGAUUGAUUUAUUUCGCUCGCUGUUUCUUUUGUUGAUUGAUUUCGCCCUAAUCAAAUCUCUCUCUCACUUUCCUUACCAACCCAACCGCUUCAUGGAUUCACCGCCGUGUACUCCGACGAUCACCACUCCUCCUCUUACUCCGAUUUCGCCAUCCACACCUCGUACUCCUCCGAUCACCACUCCUCGUACUCCGAUUUCGCCAUCCACGCCUCGUACUCCUCCGAUCACCACUCCUCGUACUCCGCCAUCGUAUCUGGCGGCGGUAGUAACUCCGUCACCUCCUCGUGCACCGAUGAAGCAAGGAAAGAUAUAUUCUACCCCGAUGCUACACUUGAUGGAUAAAAUCAUUCAAGGGGGAGAAUUGUUGUUGCUUGAGUAUCGAAGGAAUCAGAACACCGCUGAAGCCAGGGAAAACGAAAGAAAAAGAAAAAUACGUAUUUUGAUGUCACUUCGAUGAUCAUUCCUUUCUAUAUGAAAAUGGGUGAGUGAAAAGGUAAGAGCUUUAUUAUGAAAUUGUGAAAUUGAUCUGUUAGAGGUAGGUUAUGUUAUUUUCUGUUAGGAGAGUGUCUUUGCAGGUACAUCAACAUUCCUAUUCUUGUCAGUAAGAUAUUAAUUUCUUUUUGCCUCUUUUGAUUUAGUUUUUACUUUUUAUAGUAUGAAAAAAUGGUAAGGAAAAGGGUAAGAAUUUUUUAUUGCUAUUUUGUUAUUAUUAUGAAAUUGUGAUGUUCUGAGGUGGGUAAGGUUGGUUUGCUAUAUUCAUUACAUUAACCAUCAUUAGUAGUGCUAAAGCAAUGACAUCUGUAAAAUGCUCACACAAGAGUGGAAACUAUCCUCUGUCUUAUUGGGAGCUCAAUCUCGUCUGCGACCACAACAUUUGAAAUUGGCAGGUUACUAUGCUUAUUGAAGGUUCCUUUCAACUAUACUGAUCAAGUAUAACUCAUUUGGUACAAAAUUGUUUGGCAUAAUACUCAUCCAUCACUUUACAAUAUAAUGAGUGUGAUAAGUUUUAAGAUGGUCUCUUUGCCACUUUAUUCAUCACUUGGAUUAUUGUGUAAGUUAGUUAGCUUUCCGUUAAGUUUUCCUAAAUUGCAUUUUUCUUACCUGAUUGCUUCCAAAUAAUUGAUUGCUAAUUAUGCAUUUUUGCUGCUUUUUUUUUAACCUUUAACUUGUUACUUGAUGCAUUAUAUUCAACCAUCACUGUGUCAUUUGUUAGACACAUAAUUCAAUGUGCAAACGUGAUAAGUGAUAACAAUGUCAAAGCUUUGUGCUGCCAAAGACAGGUUUGUAUGGUUAUUGAGCAAGCUUAUGUAACCCUUUACUAUGUGUCCUGCUCUUUUCUUUGAUAAUUAUGCAUUACACAACUUCCUUAUCCUAUCACUAGGUUUUUGGAUGAACCAUUUUGAUUUUCAUCAUAAGAUUCAUUGCUCUUAUGGCGAAUCAACAUUGAAUUUAUAUAUAACCUUUCAUAAAUAAAUAUAAUUUCUGGUCCAACCAAACAUUCAAUGAAUAAGGUAUUGUCACAGUAGUAACUAAAAGGAAUGAUAAGUAUGAUUAUUAAUUAAUUUGUAGAAUCACUAUGUACUCGAAAAUUUCCAUCUUUCUCUGUGAAUUUGCAUAUCUUACUAGGUAUUGCUGAAUUCAAGAAGAAGAGUGGAGGUCUUCGAGUGAGACUUGCUAGACAAGCAAACACCGCUAUGCUCGGAAAACUGGCUUGGGUACAGAAGAUUCAUAUGUUGCUAAUCGGAAUUUCAUCAACGCUGAUCAAUAACAAACUCACAACAGAUUGCUAUGUUUGGAAAGGUAGCCUUGAAAGCUAGAUUUGACUUCAAGUAGAUUUUAAUUUUGCUUAGGGUUUUGAUUUUCUGAUUCAGUGUUUUACAUUAAUGUUUAGGAUCUGAUUUUCUGAUUCCGUGUUGAGUAUGUUUAGGAUAUGAUAUUUCUGAUUGUAAUUCUUUUCACAUUUAUGCGUUUUGAUUUGAUUGUUCGUGCCGCUCGAACGAGACCAAAUAUGUUGGUGCAGGUUGGACUUGAACAUAGACACAUGCCGCCUGUUGCAAAACUGAUAGAAAUAGUCAGCAGAAGAAGCCUUGGACAUGAUAGAAUGGUAUCAAUUCGGGAGCAUCGGUUUCCUUUCUUGGUUAAGUUUAGAUUUUAUACAACCAAUUGAGGUUACAUACAUUACCUGUUUUGAUUAUAGUAUUGAAUAAGCUGAUAGAAUGACAUUAAUCAUAGGUGAACAAUUGGAAUCGGUUCAAUGUUAAUUUUGCUUCAUUUUUUCAGUCACUUGAAUGUUUAUCAUUGCAAUUGCAAUAAUUUUACUUCCUUAUAGCUGUCUACAGCAUAUGGAUUCCACUUAUUUCGAGGAUAAUGGUUGUUUCUUUGGAGUGUUCCAUAACUAAUAUUUUGAGGAUAUUUUACUUCCUUAUAUGACUCAAUGAUCCUUUUCCAAAGUCACUUAGAUUGGUAAUAAUGGUUUCAUUAAGGUAAGUUACUUCCUUAGCAUAUUUGGAUUGUCAUAAAAUCUACUGAUGAUCUCUUUACUACUUUAUUGAUCAUUUGGAUUAUAAGGUAAGUUAGCUUUCCAUUAAGUUUUCUUAUCCGAUUCCGUGUAAGUAAUUGAUUGCUAACUAUUCAUUUUUGCUGGUCAUUUUGGUUUUAUCCUUAACACAUCUUGAUGCAUUCUAUUCAACCAUCACUAUAUAUCAUUUGUUAAUUGUUAGACACAUUAUUUGCAAUGUGUAAAGGUGACAACAAUGCCAAAGUUUUGUUCUGCCAAAGACAGGUUGGUAUGGUUAUUGAAGUGCUUUUUAUAAUAAGCUUAGAGCUUAUGUCACACUUUUUUAUGUCAGACAGGUUUCUAGUUGUUGGUAGUUAGGCAUCCUGCUUUUUUCUUUCAUAAUUAUGCAUUACUCCAAAUUUGAAGGUUUUUUCAACUAUGAAUUGUCUUAUUUAAUUAACUAUACUGAUGAUCAAGACUUAUUUAAUUUCCAUCUUUCUCUGUGAAUUUACAUAUUAUCAAAACCUACUGAUGGAACUAACAUACUUUACUACUUUCUUAUCUCUGCAUAUAUUUGAGAUAUUGCUUAGCUUUCAAAGUUGGAUGUUUAGGGCUCCAAAACCAAUCAAUCAUAUUGUAGCACAUUCAUGACUGGUUUCAAAACUGAACUGACAGUCAUUUUGGUUUCCUUCACCUGUUGUCAGGUUUGCUUGUACUCCUCCGAUCACCACUCCUCGUACUCCGCCGCUUUCAUCAUCGUCCCUUGCGGCUUUAGUAACUCCGUCACCGCCUCGUGCACCGAUGAAGCAACGAAAGAUAUAUUCUACCCCGAUGCUACACUUGAUGGAUAAAAUCAUUCAAGAGGGAGAAUUGUUGUUGAUUGAGUAUCGAAGGAAUCAGAACACCGCUGAAGCCAGGGAAAACGAAAGAAAAAGAAAAAUACAUAUUUUGAUGUCACUUCGAUGAUCAUUCCUUUCUAUAUGAAAAUGGGUAACUGAAUGAAAAGGGUAAGAUAUAUAUUUGUUCCUUUCAGUUGUUGAUUGAUCUGUUAGAGGUAGGUUAUGUUAUUUUCUUUAAAAAUAUUAUUUUGAAUCCAUAAUCUGUUAGGAGUGUCUUUGCAGUAACAUCAACUUUCCUAUUCUUGUCAGUAAGAUAUUAAUUUGUUUUUGCCUCUUUUUGAUUUACUUUUUAUAGUAUCAAAAAUGGUAAGGAAAAAAGGGUAAGAAUUUUUUAUUGCUAUUUUGUUAUUAUGAAAUUGUGAUGUUCUGAGGUAGGUUGGUUUGGUAUGCUAUAUUCAUUACAUUAACCAUCAUUACUGCUAAAGCAAUGACAUCUGUAAAAUGCUCACACAAGAGUGGAAACUAUCCUCUGUCUUAUUGGGAGCUCAAUCUCGUCUGCGACCACAACAUUUCAAAUUGGCAGAAGGUAAGUUACUUCCUUAGCAUUCUAUUCAACAAUGCCAAAGGCAGGUUACUAUGCUUAUUGAAGGUUCCUUUCAACUAUACUGAUCAAGUAUAACUCAUUUGGUACUAAAUUGUUUGGCAUAAUACUCAUCCAUCACUUUACAAUAUAAUGAGUGUGAUAAGUUUUAAGAUGGUCUCUCUGCCACUUUAUUGUGUAAGUUAGUUAGCUUUCCAUUAAGUUUUCCUAAAUUGCAUUUUUCUUACCUGAUUGCAUCCAAAUAAUUGAUUGCUAAUUAUGCAUUUUUGCUGUUUUUUUUUUAAUCUUUAACUUGUUACUUGAUGCAUUCUAUUCAACCAUCACUGUGUCAUUUGUUAGACACAGAAUUCAAUGUGCAAAGGUGAUAAGUGAUAACAAUGUCAAAGCUUUGUGCUGCCAAAGACAGGUUUGUAUGGUUAUUUUGGUUUUAAUCCUUAACACUUCUUGAUGCAUUCUAUUCAACCAUCACUAUAUAUCAUUUGUUAGACACAGAAUUUGCAAUGUGUAAAGGUGAUAACAAUGCCAAAGUUUUGUUCUGCCAAAGACAGGUUGGUAUGGUUAUUGAAGUGCUUUUUAUAAUAAGCUUAGAGCUUAUGUCACACUUUUUUAUGUCAGACAGGUUUCUAGUUGUUGGUAGUUAGGCAUACUGCUUUUUUCUUUCAUAAUCAUGCAUUACUCCAAAUUUGAAGGUUUUUUCAACUAUGAAUUGUCUUAUUUAAUUAACUAUACUGAUGAUCAAGACUUAUUUAAUUUCCAUCUUUCACUGUGAAUUUACAUAUUAUCAAAACCUACUGAUGGAACUAACAUACUUUACUACUUUCUUAUCUCUGCAUAUAUUUGAGAUAUUGCUUAGCUUUCAAAGUUGGAUGUUUAGGGCUCCAAAACCAAUCAAUCAUAUUGUAGCACAUUCAUGACUGGUUUCAAAACUGAACUGACAGUCAUUUUGGUUUCCUUCACCUGUUGUCAGGUUUGCUUGUGUACAAAUCUUUUUUCUCUAGUGAAGACAAGACUGCAACUUCAGACGCCCCUUCACCUGUUCUCAAUGGGAUACAUCGCUUACAUAUGUUCUUGCUUCAAUAUCACAUCCCUAUCCCUUGUUUGUCAAACCAGUGUUCUCAAUGGUUGCAGAAGGAUUUCAUAUCAGGUAUGAGAGAGAAGAAUAGUGGAAAGAAGGAGCUUUGCUGGCAAAGUUACAUAUUUGUGGUAGCAACAAAUGGAGGAAGAAUAGUGGAAAGAAGAACUAUCGAGAUCCAGAAGGCGACAAUACCGAUUCUAGCAUGAAAUCAGAUUAUCCACCAUGUCAUCAUUGUGGAAGAAAUACAACCGCUUGGGUCAUCAGAUUGUAAUGCUCCUCUAAGAUCUUGGAUAAGGCCAGAUGUGAAGUGUAACAAAUACAACCGCUUGGGUCAUAUUUCAAAGAUCUACAAAUUCCAACUGGAAAAGAAGCAAGAAGAAACUCAGAUUGUAGAUCAAGAUUAUCAACACAGGUGAAAGUUGGUUUAUUGAUAAUGGAUGCACUAAUCACAUGACAUAUGAUAUUGAGUUUUUCAAAGAUUUCAACAAGGAUUCUGUUUCAAAAGUUAAGAUUGGUAAUGGUUAAUUUGUUGAUGUCAAAUGAAGAGUAUCAAUUGUAGCACAGUUGCUUGAAAAGGGGUUCAUACUUAUCUUUGAGAAUUGUUUAGAAUACCAAUGCAGGUUAAAAGUUUUUCUUUGGGCUUUUUGCAAUGUAAGGAAGCUGCUGUUGUAAAAUCAAUUUCUGAUACUGAAUUUUGUACUAUACUUGGAUAAAAACAAUCUAGCAGAAGGUAUACUAGCAUUGGAGAAAAACAUGACUAGUUUUGCUCCUCACCAGAUUGUUAUGUUCACGAUCAGAGCAAUAAGUAGAUUGCAGUUGAUACAUACAGAUCUUAGAGGAUCUUUGUCAGAAGCCUCAUUGGAUGGACCAUAUAUUACAUACAGAUCUUAGAGGAUCUUUGUCAGAAGGAUCUUUGUAAAUUUAAAAGAUGGGUUGAAAAUCAGAGUGAAUGAAAAAUUCAAUAAGCUUUAUGAGGAGGCUGGAAACAUUAUGGUGCGUGUGCGGGUGAAAGGGAGUAUAGGAGUGUGAUGGAAAUGGCUAGAUGCUUGCUAUAUGAGAAAAAUAUCUCUUCAGAAGUUUUGGGCAGAAGCUGCAACAAGUCUGAAGGAAAAACUCCAUUUGAAGGAUGGUGUUUGGCUGUGUUUGCUUCAGUCGUGUGACACUAGUAACGUCUGAUAAGUUUUAUAAAAGGUUUGAGGCUGAAAUAUUCUUAGGCUACCACAAUGUCUCUAUAGCCUAUAGAACCCUUUCAGCCAAAGUCAGAAAAAAUCUUCAUAAGUAGAAAUGUUUGUUUUGAGGAGGAGCAAGAAUGGAACUGGGAAGAAGAAAAACCAUGCAAGUAAAAUGGCAAAAAAUUGAAGAAUCUCCAGAACUACUAUUUCAGGAAGAUCACGUCUCUCCACUAGAUCAUGAGAACAUUGAUGAUGCACCUGUUAGAAGUACAAGAUUACUUGCUGAUAUUUAUGAUAGGUGCAGUUUUGCUGAUACUCUUGGUGCUUAAAAAAGCAAGAAAUUGUUGCUCAAUCCGCCGCAGAGGUUGAAUUCAUAGCCAAGUUUGGAAGUUGUUAAAAGAUGUUCAAGAGGAGCAGAGGCAAAGUACUAAGAAUCUAGUGUUGCAUGGAAAGACCCUGAAUUCAAUGUGAAAUCUCAUUACAAUCUUGGAAUUUGGAAGACAGAAGACCAAUUAGUAGAUAUUUUUACAAAACCACUUUCUAAAAGAAAGUUCGAAGUAUUGCAUAAAGAUCAGAGUCUACAGCUACUAAAGCAAGGAGUAGUAUUGAGAAUUUGAGAUAAUGCUUCAGUAUAUAUCCUCAUUGAUAAGAUCUAGAAACAGUUUGUUGGUCUUAUCUUUUAAUUAAAUUAGGAUGCUUUCUGUUCUGUUUUAGUAGAUUAAGUAUUUUGUUAGUGGGAAGUUUAAAUGUUAUUCUUUUUUUUUUUAUUUUUAUCAGAGAUGGUAUUACUUCUAUUUUAGUAGAUUAAGAAUUUAAGAUAAGAAAUUCUAUUUUAGAAUAUUUAUCUCUAAUCAAUUUUUGUAUUUAAAGAAGCUUCAGACCAACAAAUGGUACAACUUCUCAAUCUAACUUAGGUAUAUCAGUGUAUGUGCACACACACAUAUCUUUUAAAAAGUUUUGAACUUUUACUAGAGUUCUAGUGUUAUGCUAUAGAGUAUAACUAAAAUCUCCCUUUCACAGUGAUAUUUAAACUAAUAUGUCCUUUGAAAAUUUUAUUAAAUUUAGAUUAGUUUCUUUGAAAAAACUAUUUGAAAGAAACUUCAAACAUAUUUAGGUUCAAUGAUUUUCUUCUUUCAAUUAUGUGUGAAGAAAAACAGAUUGUGAUUAUCUGUUAGUUGUUAGAACUACACAGUUAGAUUAGAUGGGAAACAUGGACUACUAGCCAGAAUCCAUUGGCUUAAUGUCCUGUUUGGAUCAUUGCUGAAAGGACUUAUCAGUGCUUCUCUUUUAGAUCAAGCACGGAUGCUUGUUAAAAAUGUAGUUGGUUGAAUUUUCUUUAUCUGCUGUGACUUUAGAAAAAGAUCUGAGAAGAACUUAUUAUGAAGCUUAAACAGAAAAUGUCUCUCCUUUCAAACUAAAAAAUGAAUUUACUAAAUUUGAAAGAAUGUCCCAUUCCAAUCCUAUCUGAAUCGUGUUCCCUUGCAGACAGACUGAAGUUCGACUGUUACCAUUUCUUUUGCAGUUCUGCUCACUCUCCGGUAUGACUGAAUUCACUAAUUUGUUUUUAUUAGUUUCAUUUUUUGGUGACUUAAUUGAUUGUGUAUAUACUCAGGAUUGUGCUUCUCUGGAUAUUGUCUUGAUGACAAUAUUGAUUAUUUACUCCGACACUAAUUGGUAUUUCAAACACUUGAUGCAUGAUGUUAGAAUAGGAAACAAUCGCUUUCUUUGGAGCGGAUACUAGUACUUGGUCUUUAACAAUCACCUGAUGCACGAUGUUAGAAUAGAAAUUGAAUGUUCUGAAAAGUUCCAUUUUGCAUGAUUUCUCUUUUGAUUUUGGAUCCAUUGAGGUAAUGUUAGUAAUGUUCUGAUACUUAUUUCCUAUUUCAUUAGUUAGUCUGUUAUUGAGGAAAAACCGAUUAUUGAAACUCAGGACUAAUCGAUCCAAAAAGUGGUCAAGCUACUGAAAGGAAGAUGAUGAGAUUAAACCUAUUAAUUCAAUUUCAAGUUCAAACCACUUGAGGUGCUGUCGAACGAAGAUCCUGUUAAAAAACAAAAGAGAAAAAAAAAAGUUCAAACCACUUGAUUGUAUUAUGGUGAUUUGAGUUAGAACAAUAUUGUUAUGCACUGAUUUUGCUUUCCAGAACAAAUGUUCUAGUCUAGAACAAUAUUGUUAUGCAUUCUCUUUUUAUUUCUGUUUUGUAAUAAUCUCAUAAUACUAAAUAUCAUCGAUGAAUGAAGGCUUGUUUAUGUCCUUCAUCUCAAUUGUUAGACAAUUCAAGCUAUCACAGACACUUCAUCAGUUGUGAUUAUGCACACAGCACACCCUUAACUGUUUGUAUAUGAUGUGCAGAUAAGUUGUAUAAUGUUGUACAAGUAGCUGCAUGAGUAUGGACCAAAUAUUGCGUCAAAAAAAAAAAGUAUGGACCAAAUAUGAGGUAUGUCAAACUGUGAUUUUCAAAGUAGUACUUGCACAUAUAUCUGAUGGACUCUGAUUUAAAAAACAAAGAACCAGAAGCAGGAUUCACAGUCCCAACAUUCACUGUACUUAGCAAAUGCAGUUUUCUUAGGUCUUUUCUUCUCCAUCGUGUACUUUCUUUUACACCGGCAGCGUGAGAAGAUCAAAACCUCCACAAAUUUCCACGUCGUCACAAUCUCCAAGAUUAUCGCUCUAGUUUCCCACAUAGCUUCUGUUAUCUACCUUAUGACUUUUUUCGGCAUUGCCUUUAUUCUUCAUUAUGAUGAAGAAGAUGAUGCUGACAUAACAGAAACUACCAGAGUCGUGUCGAAGCUACCUCUGUUACAACCUAAAAUCUCUAUCCAUAAAGUUGCACCGGUGCCUGGACUGCUUUCCAUGGAAGAUGAGGAGGUUGUCCGUGAGGUGGUAUCGGGAUCAAUUCCGUCUUAUUCUCUUAAAUCAAAGCUUGGAUAUUGCUUGCGUGCAGCGCUGAUUCGGAACCAAGCGGUGGAGAUUGUUGGCUACAGGUCAAGAUCCAGCUCAGAAUGUUGAGAGUUCUCAUUAUAUGACGGUGAUGGAAGCUGUGAAUGAUGGGAAGGUCCUUCAUAUAUUUGUGACUAUGCCUUCCAUUGAGGUGGGCACAGUUGGAGGGGCACACAACUUGCAUCACAAUCAGCUUGUUUGAAUUUACUUGGUGUUGAGGGUGCUAAUAAAGAGACUCCAAGAGCAAAUUCAAGGCAACUAGCGACUAUAGUAGCUGCUUCAGUCCUUUGCCAGAGAGCUCUCACUCAUGUCUGCAAUUGCUGCUGGACAACUUCGUUAAGAGCCACAUGAAAUACAACAGAUCUACUAAAUAUGUCACCAAAGUUUCUUCAUGAGUUGGUAGGGACAUAUAUAGCCUGCAAAGAAUACUUCAUUAAGAUAUGGUUUAUGUACAGAAGGAAUUAAAUAAGAUUUGUUCUAUUCCUCUUAUUUGUUUUUCGAAACAAAAUAUCAUUAGUGUUGUAGUAUUUCUCAAUUCUCAUAUAAAGCUCAAAUAUGUGGUACUACUUUAGUCUUUUGAUCUUUGAUUUUGCACACUGUAUUGGAUUUUUGUUGAGGAGUGACUCUCAAUGUCCGCUUUACUGUGACACAACACCAAUGUACUAAGUUGCUUUGGUUUUCUUCUUCUUUGGUGAUAUGGGUGCUUAACUAAGUACACAUUAACUCA
Molecule: long non-coding RNA, 10035 nt
Organism: Trifolium pratense (red clover)
Lineage: Eukaryota; Viridiplantae; Streptophyta; Magnoliopsida; Fabales; Fabaceae
Exons: 2
Source: RefSeq, a predicted model, not a curated record